RNAcentral lists this non-coding RNA (27 nucleotides) under Homo sapiens (human). Lineage: Eukaryota; Metazoa; Chordata; Mammalia; Primates; Hominidae. The record is from RNAcentral.
UCUCCUGACCUCGUGGUUCGCCCGCCU